UACGAAGGGGGCUAGCGUUGUUCGGAUUUACUGGGCGUAAAGGGCGCGUAGGCGGCCUGCAAAGUUAGGAGUAAAAGCCCAGGGCUUAACCCUGGAACUGCUUCUAAGACUUGCAAGCUAGAGAGUGAUAGAGGAUGAUGGAAUUCCUAGUGUAGAGGUGAAAUUCUUAGAUAUUAGGAGGAACACCGGUGGCGAAGGCGGUCAUCUGGGUCAUUUCUGACGCUGAGGCGCGAAAGCGUGGGGAGCAAACAGG
This 253-nucleotide ribosomal RNA is filed under the name uncultured bacterium. RNAcentral describes it as "partial 16S ribosomal RNA". It matches the Rfam family "Bacterial small subunit ribosomal RNA", at positions 524 to 776 of the family's 1533-position model. The record is from RNAcentral.